ACUCGAUUUGAGCCGGCCCUUUUAUUUCCUCUUCGUUGCCCCCUUCCUCCCUCGUGUGACACGCCACGUUCGUUCCUACCUCCAUAGAGAAGCUUUCCUCCCUCAUGCAUGGAUCCCCUUCUCUUCCCUCGUGCGACGGCUGCUUCACCUGCUUCUUCCUCCCGGGAUCCUUCUCCGGCAAGAGACCACCCGCCUCGUAAGCAGCCGUGGCCAAUGUCUCCGGCGUCGACUCGUCUAGGGUUCCGUCAAGGUCGGCGUCGUCUAGGUCCCCUUCAAGCUUCGUCAAGCUCGGCAUCCACAAGGUAAUGCCCCAAUUUUCCCCAUUCUGUUCCUUUAUCUCUAUGUUGUACCGCGCGACCGAGGCGUUUUUGUUCAUUUUAGCGUUGGUCCACUGUUGCUAGGGUUCUGAGAUUAGAUGAUUCCGGGAUCUGUUUGUAUGAUUCCGAGUUUUAGACAAUGUGAUUGUGUUCAGAGAUUUGGAUUCAUGGUAUGAUUCUGCAUGAUGAUGAUUCAGAGUAUGAUUCAGUAUGAUUUAGAUAAAUGGGAUUUUUGUUUGUUUGUUGAUUCUGCAUGAUGGGGUUUGUGUAGCAUGAUGCAGACAUUUUCUUGUGUUGUUAAUAUGUUCUGUUAGUUUUCUGGAUUUUGUAGCAGCAUCAUGGAGUAGUUCUGGAGACUUGUUAGCAUGUAUUUCGUCGAGAGCACGCACUUAUCAACAUUUAGGCAACACAUGUUAUAAUCUGGUGUCUUGUUAGCAUGUAUUUAGUACACACUCUUAGGUUUGCACCUAAGAGUGUUCUGGUGCUCUAGGAAAUUUGCUCUGCUGUUCUAGGAGCACUUCUACCGAAGAGAGUUUGCACACUAUUUUGUUAAAUUCUACCUUGCUUGCACACCCUCUGUAAGAAUUUGUGUGUAUGUCCUGGUUGCAGCCCUUGGAAGAUUUUGUGUGUCGCACAAGUUCUGCUAUGUCAUGAACUCAUCACCAUCUAGUUGCAUUAUAACACUAUCCCUUUUUCUUCUAAUUAGUUAGGACGCAGUUUAGUCAAACCCAAUUGUUCUGUCAAAUCAAAUUGGCUUAGGAUUGUACCUGGAUUUUAUCAGUAUUCAGUAAUAUGUGUUGGUACUUGGUAGGAAAUGACAUCUGCUUCUCUCUUUUUUUUACAGCUUAUGAAGCCUGAAUUGUUGUUAGUUGUGGCCUUUGCGAGGAGAAUGUUAGCUAGCAAUGAUUUUGUAGUAUCUUGUCAUUCAUCUAACAUACUUCUGUACCAAUUUUUUUGCAAGUAUUAUCCAGGAAAAUGUUUGUUUAAUAAUGUUCCUUUAAUAAAUGUUCUCUUAAUAAAUAUUCUUAAAAAAUGUCAGACAAAUCAAAAAAUGUUUCUACAUAAUUUUAAAAAUGUUCUCAGAAGGAAUUUUUUUAAAAAAAAUAAUGUUUACUGAGGCAUGUUCCCAAAAUAUUGUUCGCAAAUUAAUUUUAGAAAAUAAUGUUCCCUAGGAAUGUUCUUUGAAUAUUGUUCCAAUAAUUUUAAUAUUGUUCGCAAAAAAUGUUCUUUGAAUAAUAUUCCGUGAAAAAUGUUCCCUGAAUAACUGCUCUCUGAAUAAAUGCUUUCUGAAAUAAUUAUUACUGAAUAGUGUUCCUUGAAAAUUGUUUUGUAAAUAAUAUGCCUUGAAAAAUGUUCCCUGAUUAAUAUUCCCUAAAAAAGUUCCAUUGGCAUAAAAAAAAUAAUGCCCCCAAAUAAUGUUCUAUUGGCAUAAAAAAUAAUGUUCCCUGAGUAAUGUUCCUAAAAAAAUUGCUUAACGUUUAAAAAAUAGUCUUGCAACAUUGUUGAGGGAACAAAAAAUUACAUUAUUAAGGGAACAUCGUUCUAUGAAGAUUUCUUUGGGAACAUCGAUGAGGGAACAUUAUUUAGAGAACAAUAUUAAAGGAACAUUAUUUAGGGAACAUUAUUGGGGGAACAAAAAAGUGGAACAUUUAUUUGGGGAACAUUACUAAAGGGACAUUCUUGUAGGAACAUUAUUGGGGGAACAAGUGAUAUUCUGUAAAAAAAAUUAUAAUUGAAUAAUUUUUGCUGCAUAAUGUUCCUUGGGGUCAAGAAAAUUUCCUUGAAUAAAAUAAUGGUCCUUGAAUAAUGUUCCCUCAAUAAUGUUCUCCGUAAAAUAAAAAAAAUGUUCUUCUAAUUAAAUAUUGAUAACUGUAUAAUGUUUUCCAGAAUGAUGUUCCCUAAAUAAUGUUCCUUGGAAAAUGUUGGCACAAGAAACAAACCUAUUGAAGAUCCAACAAAUAUUGUCACACCUAUUGAAGAUCCUUUGCUAGUUCAAGCACUCGAACUGCAUGAAGCACAUACCAGUAAGUUUUCGAAACCAGAAACUUCAACUUGGCAACAACGUGUGAACAAAUCUUUCAAAUCUGGGACACUAGUAAUUCAACAACAGCAAAAAAAGGCAAGUAAGCAGGUCCUCUUUUCGGACGGAAUAGAGAAUGAUUUUUACCAAACAUUGGUUGGACUUCUUCCCAAGUUAACUUACAUGUAUGUAGAAAAAGCAUAUGAAAUUUAUAUGAUAUGUUCUACAUGAUUCAAACAUAAACAAUUUUUUAUGCUGUCCAUGCUAUUUCUCAUGAUUUAUGUUUUACUUUUAUUCAUGUUGUUCUUCUGCCAUGAACAGCUGAAGGAUAUUCGAGAUUGAAGGAGUUUGGUGGAUCCGAAAACUAUAACUGUAUCAUUAAAGACUGGUGGUUGCAUAAAUCCUCGGGUUGUUGACUGUUUUUCAAAACUAAAGAAUAAAGACCAGCUGAACCGAGGAAGAAAAGGCCUCCUACCUAACAGCGAAUUAGUAGAGCACAUCGACAUUCGUUUCCUCAGUUUUCGUUUUCACUUCAUCGACAUUUUCCUUUUCUUAAUUAUCAACCAUUUUCCAGGAAACAAACAUGCAGGAGAAGCUAAUGAACCAAAUGCUAAAUCAUUCAGAUCCUGCAAACAAACUAAUCUUACAGAAAAGUAAUGUUGGCUUCUUUAUUGAAUGCUUCCUUGGUAAGAUAAGUUCUUUUGUACAAAAUGCUCUUAUAGAUUUUUCUUUUUCAAAGAGGUUAGACUAAUAGCGUGUUCAUUUCCACAAUUCCCUAGGUAAAAUUUCCUGUAUUCAAGGAAACAACGGGUUUUAAUCGUUGCUAACUUCAGAGCCAAUUUUUUUGAUAUCAUGAACCCGUACUACAGUGGCGAUACAUUUCUACCAACAAUUAGUGCAAUUACCUACAACUUCACGGUUUUGUUCGCUGCUACGUAUGGAAAUACUAGUUCUUUGAACAUAGGAAAUUUUGAAUCAAGAUUUGUACCAGCUACCAAGGUCAAUUUCAAGUUGGGUUUCCAUGGAACUCUCCCCUUUUACAAGAUUUGUACCAGCCAGCAUCAACUUCUUGGUUCUUUCUCCUAAAAAACAGAUUAAAAGUAUUUUUAAAUUCACAAUAAUUUCCAUUAGUAACUUUCAAGGACAAUGAAAUUCAGCUUCUUUCCUGCAGAGACAUGUAAGUUCUCUAUUUAUUUUCUCCCAAAGACAGAAGCGAGAUGUUACUUCCUUAGAGCAUCUUUUUUGUACUGAAUAGUGAAAUUAACUUCUUCUAAUACCACAUUUGUUUCAACAGGGUUUCAACAUAUUCAAGUGAAGCUUUGAAUGCCAAUCAUUAUUUGAUCUGAAUAUGAAGUCAACUUAGGGUCUCAUUAAUGCUGUCAACUUCAAGGGAAAUUGCACUGCAAGAUUCAACUCAAAGGAAUACUUCUGCAGGGAAAAUGUUUCAUUAAUGAUACCAUUUUUUGUUUUUAUCUUGAUGCCCCAAUGAUAGUUUCUUGUAACACCUUGAUCUAUAAAGAAAGUCCGAAAACAGCA
This is a long non-coding RNA of Triticum dicoccoides, 3873 nucleotides long. RefSeq lists it as uncharacterized. The record is from RefSeq and is a predicted model, not a curated record. The transcript is spliced from 3 exons. Lineage: Eukaryota; Viridiplantae; Streptophyta; Magnoliopsida; Poales; Poaceae.